RNAcentral lists this ribosomal RNA (404 nucleotides) under uncultured bacterium. RNAcentral's name for it is "bacterial SSU rRNA". It matches the Rfam family "Bacterial small subunit ribosomal RNA", at positions 355 to 776 of the family's 1533-position model. The record is from RNAcentral.
CAAGGAAUUUUCGGCAAUGGGCGCAAGCCUGACCGAGCAACGCCGCGUGGAGGACGACGGCCUUCGGGUUGUAAACUCCUUUUCGGGGGGACGAUACAGACGGUACCCCCGGAAUAAGGCUCGGCUAACUCUGUGCCAGCAGCCGCGGUAAGACAGAGGAGCCAAGCGUUGUCCGGAUUGACUGGGCGUAAAGCGCACGCAGGCGGCCGCGCGCGUGGGGUGUGAAAACCGCUGGCUUAACUGGCGGAGGCCACCUCAUACGGCGCGGCUCGAGCCGUGCAGAGGUCCGUGGAAUUGCCGGUGUAGUGGUGAAAUGCGUAGAGAUCGGCAGGAACACCAAGGGGGAAACCAGCGGACUGGGCACGUGCUGACGCUCAGGUGCGAAAGCGUGGGGAGCGAACUGG